This 76-nucleotide transfer RNA is filed under the name Anaerolineae bacterium. RNAcentral's name for it is "tRNA-Thr". It matches the Rfam family "tRNA". Rfam says of the family: Transfer RNA (tRNA) molecules are approximately 80 nucleotides in length. Their secondary structure includes four short double-helical elements and three loops (D, anti-codon, and T loops). The record is from RNAcentral. Lineage: Bacteria; Bacillati; Chloroflexota; Anaerolineae.
GCCGACGUAGCUCAAUCGGCAGAGCAACUGACUUGUAAUCAGUAGGUUCUGGGUUCGAUUCCCAGCGUCGGCUCCA